Molecule: ribosomal RNA, 547 nt
Filed under: uncultured bacterium
Lineage: Bacteria
Description: bacterial SSU rRNA
Rfam family: Bacterial small subunit ribosomal RNA
Source: RNAcentral
GGAAUAUUGGGCAAUGGGCGAAAGCCUGACCCAGCGACGCCGCGUGAGGGAUGAAGGUCUUCGGAUUGUAAACCUCUUUCAGUAGGGAAGAAGCGAAAGUGACGGUACCUAAAGAAGAAGCACCGGCUAACUAUGUGCCAGCAGCCGCGGUAAUACAUAGGGUGCAAGCGUUGUCCGGAAUUAUUGGGCGUAAAGAGCUCGUAGGUCGUUUGUCGCGUCGAUUGUGAAAAUCUGAGGCUCAACCUCAGACCUGCAGUCGAUACGGGCAAACUAGAGUGUGGUAGGGGAGACUGGAAUUCCUGGUGUAGCGGUGGAAUGCGCAGAUAUCAGGAGGAACACCAAUGGCGAAGGCAGGUCUCUGGGCCAUAACUGACACUGAGGAGCGAAAGUGCGGGGAGCGAACAGGAUUAGAUACCCUGGUAGUCCGCACCGUAAACGGUGGGCACUAGUUGUGGGAACCUUCCACGGUUUCCGCGACGCAGCAAACGCAUUAAGUGCCCCGCCUGGGGAGUACGAUCGCAAGAUUAAAACUCAAAGGAAUUGACGG